GAUGAACGCUAGCGGCAGGCUUAAUACAUGCAAGUCGAGGGGCAGCAGGACUGUAGCAAUACAGUUGCUGGCGACCGGCAAACGGGUGCGGAACACGUACGCAACCUACCCAAAACUGGGGGAUAGCCCGGGGAAACCCGGAUUAAUACCUCGUAACCUUUUUAAGUGGCAUCACUUGAUAAGUAUAGCUCCGGCGGUUUUGGAUGGGCGUGCGCCUGAUUAGGUAGUUGGUGCGGGUAACGGCCCACCAAGCCUGCGAUCAGUAACUGGUGUGAGAGCAAGACCAAUUAACACGGGAACUAGAAAACGGGCCCGCUCCUAACGGAAGCAGGAAUAAGGAAAAAUGGGUAAAGGAAGGAAGUCCUAACCCGCCAUGCCGCGUGAAGGAUGAAGGUCCUCUGGAUUGUAAACUUCUUUUAUGGGGGACGAAACCCGGAUAUUCUUAUCCGAUUGACGGUACCUCAGGAAUAAGCACCGGCUAACUCCGUG
RNAcentral lists this ribosomal RNA (489 nucleotides) under uncultured bacterium. RNAcentral's name for it is "partial 16S ribosomal RNA". It matches the Rfam family "Bacterial small subunit ribosomal RNA", at positions 28 to 507 of the family's 1533-position model. The record is from RNAcentral.